RNAcentral lists this long non-coding RNA (1185 nucleotides) under Anas platyrhynchos platyrhynchos (common mallard). RNAcentral's name for it is "lncRNA (ENSAPLG00000019947.1)". The record is from RNAcentral. Lineage: Eukaryota; Metazoa; Chordata; Aves; Anseriformes; Anatidae.
GUGGAGGCUAUGCUGGGCUAGAGGCAGAGUGGAAACCAGAUCUUCUUCCAGAGGAAGAGCAGCACAUAAAAGCAGCCAAGGGGGUAAGAGGUUGCAUGAUAUGCCAGAAAUCUAUAUGACAUUUAGAUACUUAACUGGUAAAGCGAGGUGGAGGCUUUCAAAGACACAGCUUAGCUUUGAAGGGAUUUUGCAGAGCACCUUGGCAUAUGAGGUGCCUAAAUUCCCAUUGAACCUCAUCUUGGGGCAUUAAGCAUCUGACAACCCCUUUCUUUUGUAAAUACACCCUCCAAAGGUUCCAAAUGUAUCCCCUAUUUUAUUUUCUCUAGGUUUAUGUGAUUUUUUCCUGCAUGCACCUACCACAUUUAUCUCGGUCUGAGGCAGCUAGGUGUGCCUUGCCUGUUGCAAGGCCAGUGGUGUGAGCAACACGAACGCUAAAGAAAAUGAAUUCAUUACCAGCAACUGACAGAGAAAAAUGCCAGUCUGCUGGAUGGCACUGGUGGUAGCUUUUAUUUGCUUUCCAAACAUAUUUGCACAAAAGCGCUUUGCCAAGAAAGACAGUAAAAAGGCAAAAGAGAGAGAGAGUGUUAAAUAUAGAAUGUAUUUCUGCAUUGUGCUAAUAGCAUCAUGAGGACGUGGGCCAUCCAGGCAACAGCACCAGUCCGUGACGAUCUCUGAGCUGAAGCAUGUGAUACGGACAGCACGGUCUUAAAGCAGUGGCUACAGCAAAAGGCCAAGACUGAUACUUUGGACCGAGAGAAAGCAGAACUUCACCUUACUGCCCUUGACCCAGCUUGCUUUGAGAGAAUGAAACCCAGAGCACCUCAGACACAUUUACAGAGGACCUCGAGACACAUUUACCUCGCCCUGCUGUUUCCCCAAACCCAGAUCAAAGAUACAAAAGCGGGAUGCUGCUGCUUCAUCAGAGCUCUCCCAACCACCAGGCAGCGUUUCACCAAAAGAAGUUCAAUGCUCUGCUGUGUUAUUAGGAAGAAAAUACACAGUACAGUGGAAGAUGGUUCCAUUUGUAUUUCUCCAGAAGCCAUACCAGUCAUUUUUGAACAUCCUACUGUUUUUACAACGCAAAAUUCUACUUACAGGCUUCCAAAGAAGCUGAACAGAGGAUAUUCUCUUGCAGAAAAACAGCUUCUGCCCAGCACAACAGAUCUCUCCAGCUGCAAAAGGUGA